CGGGUGAGUAAUGUAUGGGGAUCUGCCUGAGUGGCGGGGGAUAACUACUGGAAACGGUAGCUAAUACCGCAUAAUGUCUGCGGACCGAAAGCGGGGGACCUCCGGGCCUCGCGCCAUCAGAUGAACCCAUAUGGGAUUAGCUUGUAGGUAAGGUAACGGCUUACCUAGGCGACGAUCCCUAGCUGGUCUGAGAGGAUGAUCAGCCACACUGGGACUGAGACACGGCCCAG
RNAcentral lists this ribosomal RNA (230 nucleotides) under uncultured bacterium. Its description in RNAcentral is "partial 16S ribosomal RNA". It matches the Rfam family "Bacterial small subunit ribosomal RNA", at positions 103 to 334 of the family's 1533-position model. The record is from RNAcentral.